RNAcentral lists this ribosomal RNA (467 nucleotides) under uncultured bacterium. RNAcentral describes it as "partial 16S ribosomal RNA". It matches the Rfam family "Bacterial small subunit ribosomal RNA", at positions 28 to 506 of the family's 1533-position model. The record is from RNAcentral.
GACGAACGCUGGCGGCGUGCUUAACACAUGCAAGUCGAACGGUAAGGCCCUGCUUUUGUGGUGUGCUCGAGUGGAACACGGGAGUGUCACACGUGAAUCCCCUGCCUAUGACUUUGGUAUAACUUCAGGACUCUGGGGAUAACACCGGAUAGGAGUCCCCGCCGCGUGGUGGGGUGUGGAAAGUUUACGGGGUUGGGGGUGGACUCGCGGCUUAUCCGCUUGUUGGUGGGGUAGGGGCUUACCAAGGGCUUGACGGGUCCCCGGUCGGAGGGGGUGACCGGCCACAUUGGGACGGGGAUACGGCCCAGACUCCUACGGGAGGCAGCAGUGGGAAUUAUUGAACAAGGGGCGGAAGCCGAAGGCAGCAACGCCGCGGGCGGGAGGACGGCCUUCGGUUUGUAAACCGCUUUCGCCGGGAACGAGGCGUGGGUGAGGUUAAUGGGUAAGGAAGCACCGGCUAACUACGU